RNAcentral lists this ribosomal RNA (477 nucleotides) under uncultured bacterium. Its description in RNAcentral is "bacterial SSU rRNA". It matches the Rfam family "Bacterial small subunit ribosomal RNA", at positions 501 to 981 of the family's 1533-position model. The record is from RNAcentral.
CUACGUGCCAGCAGCCGCGGUAAUACGGAAGGUUCGGGCGUUAUCCGGAUUUAUUGGGUUUAAAGGGAGCGUAGGCCGGAGAUUAAGUGUGUUGUGAAAUGUAGACGCUCAACGUCUGACUUGCAGCGCAUACUGGUUUCCUUGAGUACGCACAACGUUGGCGGAAUUCGUCGUGUAGCGGUGAAAUGCUUAGAUAUGACGAAGAACUCCGAUUGCGAAGGCAGCUGACGGGAGCGCCACUGACGCUUAAGCUCGAAGGUGCGGGUAUCGAACAGGAUUAGAUACCCUGGUAGUCCGCACAGUAAACGAUGGAUGCCCGCUGUUGGUACCUGGUAUCAGCGGCUAAGCGAAAGCAUUAAGCAUCCCACCUGGGGAGUACGCCGGCAACGGUGAAACUCAAAGGAAUUGACGGGGGCCCGCACAAGCGGAGGAACAUGUGGUUUAAUUCGAUGAUACGCGAGGAACCUUACCCGGGCU